This 231-nucleotide unclassified non-coding RNA is filed under the name fungal sp. RNAcentral's name for it is "partial internal transcribed spacer region". The stretch from base 1 to 48 matches the Rfam family "Eukaryotic small subunit ribosomal RNA", at positions 1784 to 1831 of the family's 1831-position model. Lineage: Eukaryota; Fungi. The record is from RNAcentral.
AAAAGUCGUAACAAGGUUUCCGUAGGUGAACCUGCGGAAGGAUCAUUAAAGGGAUAAUUGGGGGCUCCGUCCCCCUACCUCCCACCCAUGAAUACUUUAGGGGCCCAGCGCCCGAACCUUUACUUCGGCGGAUAUUUCCGCCGAACAACCCAAAACUCUAUUUCAACGUUGUCGUCUGAUUGUGGGAAUUUGAAUAAAUCAAAACUUUCAACAACGGAUCUCUUGGUUCUG